GAAACCAACAGGGAUUGCCUCAGUAGCGGCGAGUGAAGCGGCAAAAGCUCAAAUUUGAAAUCUGGCGUCUUUGGCGUCCGAGUUGUAAUUUGAAGAAGGUAUCUUUGGGCCCGGCUCUGUCUAUGUUCCUUGGAACAGGACGUCACAGAGGGUGAGAAUCCCGUGCGAUGAGAUGACCCGGGUCUGUGUAAAGUUCCUUCGACGAGUCGAGUUGUUUGGGAAUGCAGCUCUAAGUGGGUGGUAAAUUCCAUCUAAAGCUAAAUAUUGGCGAGAGACCGAUAGCGAACAAGUACAGUGAUGGAAAGAUGAAAAGAACUUUGAAAAGAGAGUGAAAAAGUACGUGAAAUUGUUGAAAGGGAAGGGCUUGAGAUCAGACUUGGUAUUUUGCAUGUUGCUCUCUCGGGGGCGGCCGCUGCGGUUUACCGGGCCAGCAUCGGUUUGGAGCGGCAGGAUAAUGGCGGAGGAAUGUGGCACGGCUUCUGCUGUGUGUUAUAGCCU
RNAcentral lists this ribosomal RNA (498 nucleotides) under Candida albicans. Its description in RNAcentral is "LSU rRNA". It matches the Rfam family "Eukaryotic large subunit ribosomal RNA", at positions 61 to 536 of the family's 3401-position model. Lineage: Eukaryota; Fungi; Ascomycota; Pichiomycetes; Serinales; Debaryomycetaceae. The record is from RNAcentral.